UCUCCACAGCGAGGCACAGACUCCGAUAGGCGGUGCAGGCGAAGAGGGAGGCGGGUGCCCUGGAGGAGCCCCCGGGAUCUGGCAGCACCGCCGGCACUGGAGCAUCCACCCGUGGGGCACAGGGAGCCGGGUUCAGCCUGACCCCACAUCAGGCAGGAAAGCUCCUCACAGGCAGGGAAAGCCACCAUGGAGCAGCCAGCCCCCUAGCCCCCUGCCUCUCCCUGCCCUGACCAUGGGGCAGCCAGCCCCAAUCCCCCCACCUCUCCCUGCCCUGACCACAGGACCGCCAACCCUCCAGCCCCCUGCCCAGUCCUACCCCCAGCUCUGAUCCACGGGACAGCCAGCCCCCUAGCCCCCACCUCUCCCUGCUCUGACUAUGGAGCAGCCAGACCCCUAGUCCCUGGCCCCUCCCUGCCCCCAAGGUCUGACCCAGGGGCCAGCCAGUCCCCUAUUCCACCCACCCCUCCCUGCCCCCAGAUCUGACCCACCAGGUAGCCUGCCCCUUAUCCCCCCAUCUCUCCCUGGCGCCUGGAUCUGACCCAUAGGCCUAGGCAGCCCAGUAUCCCCUUCCCUGUGUCAGACCCAUUCACACACCGUGGGGCUGGAGUAACCCUGAGUUGGGUGGUCCCAGGACGGCAGGCACCUUGAAGGGGACGAGGGGCGGGGCUCAGGACCCUGGCUAUCCAUGUCAGAGGGGGUCCCUCAAGCCAGGAGGUGCUGACCCAUCUUUUCCCCCCAGCUCGGCCAUGGGGCCCCCCACUGAGCUGCUGCGGGGCCGGGCAGGCCCGGAGGCCUGGCGCAAUGAGGCCAAGGCCAUGGUGCGGGCAGCGCACCAGCUGCGGGGGCGCUGCUGGCGGGAGGCGCUGGCACAGUGGCGCCCACCGCACCCCCUAGGCCAGCCUCAGGAGACACCCUACGAGCGCCGCACACGGCUUCAGGGCUGGCGCUUCAAACUGGACGUGACGGAGGCUGGUGAGACACUGGAGAAGCCGCCUGAGGGGCCGGGCAUCACACUGUGGAAGAGCAAGAUGAAGCCCCCACCAUGGGUGAGCCAGCUGCCCCUGCCCUGCUUCCGGGACCACUGCGCCAGCCAGAGCAACAGGCUGGCUGCCCGCUAUGCCAGCGCUGUGCGCCUGGUGGUCAGCCGGCUGCGCCAGGCGCUCACCGAGCUCAAUGAGCAAGCCAAGCGCCUCAACCUGGCACGCCAGCGCCUUGAUGCUGCCCUGGCCAAGGUGCGCACCGCGCUGCUCACCAACCAGCAGAGUGCCCUGGUGCGCGGGCACCGGCCCCCAGCUGAGCAGGCCCCAGACCAAGUGGACGCACUGCUGCGGUGGGAACGCAAGGAGCUGCAGAGGCUGAAGGUGGAGCUGGAAGGAGACAUGGACAUGUCGGAGGCGCACCUGAAGGCGCUGGGCAAGUGCCAGCACACCCUGAACAUGCUGUGCCAGGAGCGGGGACAGGUGCUGGAGCUGCUGGGGCAGCCGCUGCGCAUGGUGCUGCUGGAGGCCGAGCGCGAGUCCUGGCUCAGCCUGAGCCGGCCCUCGUCCCCCUUCGUAGUGAGGAACCCUACCCCGGAGCCCAGCCCUGUCGGGCCCUACACACCAGAGUGCGCGGCGGCCAUUGAGGAGGCACGGUGCCUGACCCUGCGCUCCAAGGAGGUGCUGGCCACGCUCAAGGCAGCCACAGCCCAGGCCACGGCCUCGCGCCACCAGGCCCAAGCGGCCUUAGAUGGCAGCCUGCAGCGCAAGAUGGACGAGACUCUGGCGCUCAAGGAGCGUCUCUACAUGGCUUUGGGGGGCAUGCGCAGCACCCUGAACCGCUGCCAGCGCUUCCACGGGGAGCUGGACAUCACCCAGGGCAUGACCAUGGGCCCUGAGUCCAGCCAGUACCUGGAAGCACGGGAGAAGCUGACCCGGCCCCUGGUGCGGGUGUACCAGCGCCAUGUGGGCACCCAACUGCCUGAGGCCCAGAUCCUCACCCAGGGGAAUUGACUAAGCAUGGGAACAAUUAACUGCCUCAGAGGACAGAACCUACCUCAUGCCUACCUCCAAACAACCUGAAGCCCUACCCAUCCAGGCCAGCUGCCAAUGCACAAGCGCGGUAACAGCGCAGCCUGGAAAAUCGGACGGCCGCGGGCUCUGGGCUUCGUGCUUCCUCAGUACGCACGCGCAAGAGAAGUGGUGGCGGGACAUGACACAUGCUGCGCAUGAGCUCGCCCGAGCUGCCAUUUUUGAAAUGACGGGGUGAGCGGCGCGCGCAACCGUCAGGGAGGGG
RNA transcript from Mauremys mutica (yellowpond turtle), 2274 nucleotides. It is a transcript of the gene named coiled-coil domain containing 105, with no coding region annotated. NCBI's taxonomy places the organism in Eukaryota, Metazoa, Chordata, Testudines, Geoemydidae. The record is from RefSeq and is a predicted model, not a curated record. The transcript has 8 exons.